Molecule: ribosomal RNA, 514 nt
Filed under: uncultured bacterium
Lineage: Bacteria
Description: partial 16S ribosomal RNA
Source: RNAcentral
GGAGUUAGCCGGUGCUUCUUCUGCGAGUAACGUCACAGAUGUAAGGUAUUAACUUACACCCUUUCCUCCUCGCUGAAAGUGCUUUACAACCCGAAGGCCUUCUUCACACACGCGGCAUGGCUGCAUCAGGGUUUCCCCCAUUGUGCAAUAUUCCCCACUGCUGCCUCCCGUAGGAGUCUGGGCCGUGUCUCAGUCCCAGUGUGGCUGAUCAUCCUCUCAGACCAGCUAGGGAUCGUCGCCUAGGUGAGCCUUUACCUCACCUACUAGCUAAUCCCACCUGGGCUUAUCCAUCAGCGCAAGGCCCGAAGGUCCCCUGCUUUCCCCCGUAGGGCGUAUGCGGUAUUAGCAGUCGUUUCCCAACUGUUAUCCCCCACAAAUGGGCAAAUUCCCAGGCAUUACUCACCCGUCCGCCGCUCGUCAUCUUCAAAAGCAAGCUUUUGAAAUGUUACCGCUCGACUUGCAUGUGUUAGCUCGCCGCCACGCGUUACAUACUGAGCAGAAUACAACUACGUGA